CCUACGGGCGGCAGCAGUGGGGAAUAUUGGACAAUGGGGGGAACCCUGAUCCAGCCAUGCCGCGUGUGUGAAGAAGGCCCUCGGGUUGUAAAGCACUUUCAGUGAGGAAGAACGCCUGGUGGUUAAUACCCAUCAGGAAAGACAUCACUCACAGAAGAAGCACCGGCUAACUCCGUGCCAGCAGCCGCGGUAAUACGGAGGGUGCGAGCGUUAAUCGGAAUUACUGGGCGUAAAGCGCGCGUAGGUGGCUUGAUAAGCCGGUUGUGAAAGCCCCGGGCUCAACCUGGGAACGGCAUCCGGAACUGUCAAGCUAGAGUGCAGGAGAGGAAGGUAGAAUUCCCGGUGUAGCGGUGAAAUGCGUAGAGAUCGGGAGGAAUACCAGUGGCGAAGGCGGCCUUCUGGACUGACACUGACACCGAGGUGCGAAAGCGUGGGUAGCAAACAGGAUUAGAUACCCUAGUAGUC
This 465-nucleotide ribosomal RNA is filed under the name Vreelandella stevensii. Its description in RNAcentral is "partial 16S ribosomal RNA". It matches the Rfam family "Bacterial small subunit ribosomal RNA", at positions 338 to 795 of the family's 1533-position model. Lineage: Bacteria; Pseudomonadati; Pseudomonadota; Gammaproteobacteria; Oceanospirillales; Halomonadaceae. The record is from RNAcentral.